Anthonomus grandis grandis is the source of this 296-nucleotide long non-coding RNA. RefSeq lists it as uncharacterized. The record is from RefSeq and is a predicted model, not a curated record. NCBI's taxonomy places the organism in Eukaryota, Metazoa, Arthropoda, Insecta, Coleoptera, Curculionidae. The transcript is spliced from 3 exons.
UGAGAUAUAUUUUACAGAUAAAAAAGGGCGAAAUAUGCCCAAAAAUAAUCGAAAAUUAUGCUUGUGAAACACCCAAAAUCAAAAUUUAAGAAGCUGCUGAUCAAAGGUAUUUAUGGUCUAGCCUUUUUGGAAGCCGGCGCUUUUGCAAAACAAGAAGAUACCUAAAAGACAAUUAUCCUUAUAUAUUAGAAGCUUAUUACAAAGUUGGUGAGUAUUUUGGUGGAGCAGAGAACAAGACGAGAGAAUUUGAUCAGCGGAUUUGGGAUGCUGAAGCAUCUUUACAGAAUUAAUGGAAC